RNAcentral lists this ribosomal RNA (468 nucleotides) under uncultured bacterium. RNAcentral describes it as "partial 16S ribosomal RNA". It matches the Rfam family "Bacterial small subunit ribosomal RNA", at positions 28 to 507 of the family's 1533-position model. The record is from RNAcentral.
GACGAACGCUGGCGGCGUGCUUAACACAUGCAAGUCGAACGGAAAGGCCCUGCUUUUGUGGGGUGCUCGAGUGGCGAACGGGUGAGUAACACGUGAGUAACCUGCCCUUGACUUUGGGAUAACUUCAGGAAACUGGGGCUAAUACCGGAUAGGAGCUCCUGCUGCAUGGUGGGGGUUGGAAAGUUUCGGCGGUUGGGGAUGGACUCGCGGCGUAUCAGCUUGUUGGUUGGGUAGUGGCUUACCAAGGCUUUGACGGGUAGCCGGCCUGAGAGGGUGACCGGCCACAUUGGGACGGGGAUACGGCCCAGACCACUACGGGAGGCAGCAGUGGGGAAUAUUGCACAAUGGGCGGAAGCCUGAUGCAGCAACGCCGCGUGCGGGAUGACGGCCUUCGGGUUGUAUACCGCUUUCGCCUGUGACGAAGCGUGAGUGACGGUAAUGGGUAAAGAAGCACCGGCUAACUACGUG